AACGAACGCUGGCGGCAUGCGUAACACAUGCAAGUCGAACGAGACCUUCGGGUCUAGUGGCGCACGGGUGCGUAACGCGUGGGAACCUGCCCUUAGGUUCGGAAUAACUCCCCGAAAGGGGUGCUAAUACCGGAUAAUGUCUUCGGACCAAAGAUUUAUCGCCUUUGGAUGGGCCCGCGUUGGAUUAGCUAGUUGGUAGGGUAAAAGCCUACCAAGGCGACGAUCCAUAGCUGGUCUGAGAGGAUGAUCAGCCACACUGGGACUGAGACACGGCCCAGACUCCUACGGGAGGCAGCAGUGGGGAAUAUUGGACAAUGGGCGAAAGCCUGAUCCAGCAAUGCCGCGUGAGUGAUGAAGGCCUUAGGGUUGUAAAGCUCUUUUACCCGGGAUGAUAAUGACAGUACCGGGAGAAUAAGCUCCGGCUAACUCCGUG
This 433-nucleotide ribosomal RNA is filed under the name uncultured bacterium. RNAcentral describes it as "partial 16S ribosomal RNA". It matches the Rfam family "Bacterial small subunit ribosomal RNA", at positions 29 to 507 of the family's 1533-position model. The record is from RNAcentral.